Molecule: ribosomal RNA, 561 nt
Filed under: Paracremonium sp. HKU42
Lineage: Eukaryota; Fungi; Ascomycota; Sordariomycetes; Hypocreales; Nectriaceae
Description: eukaryotic LSU rRNA
Rfam family: Eukaryotic large subunit ribosomal RNA
Source: RNAcentral
AAACCAACAGGGAUUGCCUUAGUAACGGCGAGUGAAGCGGCAACAGCUCAAAUUUGAAAUCUGGCCUCUGGCCCGAGUUGUAAUUUGCAGAGGAUGCUUUUGGUGAGGUGCCUUCCGAGUUCCCUGGAACGGGACGCCAUAGAGGGUGAGAGCCCCGUCUGGUUGGAUACCGAGCCUCUGUAAAGCUCCUUCGACGAGUCGAGUAGUUUGGGAAUGCUGCUCUAAAUGGGAGGUAUAUGUCUUCUAAAGCUAAAUACCGGCCAGAGACCGAUAGCGCACAAGUAGAGUGAUCGAAAGAUGAAAAGCACUUUGAAAAGAGGGUUAAACAGUACGUGAAAUUGUUGAAAGGGAAGCGCUUGUGACCAGACUUGGGCUUGGUUAAUCAUCCAGCGUUCUUCGCUGGUGCACUUUUCCAGCCCAGGCCAGCAUCAGUUCGGCGCGGGGGAUAAAGGCUUUGGGAAUGUGGCUCCCCCGGGAGUGUUAUAGCCCGCUGCGUAAUACCCUGCGCUGGACUGAGGACCGCGCUUCUGCAAGGAUGCUGGCGUAAUGGUCAUCAGCGAC